AAAAAAAAGUAAUUUGACUGUAGUAAUUGGCACGAUGGUUGGAGUCAUUUUAUUUAUAUUUUUUAUAUUUUUUAUAAUUUUGGUGCUCU
Molecule: non-coding RNA, 89 nt
Filed under: Corethron pennatum
Lineage: Eukaryota; Bacillariophyta; Corethrophyceae; Corethrales; Corethraceae
Source: RNAcentral